GUUAAAAAAAAAACUUGAUUUCCGUGUCCAACAUUUGACCGUCCGUCUUAUUUGAAAAAAUUAUAAAAAAAAUUAAAAAGACAAGUCAGACAUAAAAUAUUAAUCAUGUUUUAUCAUCUAACAACAAUGAAAAUACGAAUUAUAAAAAAAUUUUAUAUAAAAAGGACAGAUAAAGUUAAACACGAAACUUCAGAUUUUGCCUUUUU
This is a microRNA precursor of Oryza sativa Indica Group (long-grained rice), 206 nucleotides long. It matches the Rfam family "MIR812 microRNA precursor family". NCBI's taxonomy places the organism in Eukaryota, Viridiplantae, Streptophyta, Magnoliopsida, Poales, Poaceae. The record is from Rfam.